CAAACAAUUAACUUUCAGUGUUCCAAUUUUCUCCAACCAACGUAGGAAAAAAGUAAUAUAUAUAUAUAUAUAUAGAUGGCGGAAAAAUAAAAGGCAAAUAACAAUGCAUAUAAGAUAGUAUAGAUUCUGAUUGGUGAUUCAAACCUGAAGCUGAGCCAUGAUAUUAGAAAUAAACCAUUUUGAAAGAUGAUCAAACCUGUAAAAUUUUAGAAAAUCAAUAAAGAUCUCUACCAUUUUUUUUCUUGAUCUGCAAAGACCUCUACAUCAAAGACAUCAAAGUAGAUGAAACCAUAGAAAAUUAUUUGGGGAAGAAGGAGAAAGAUCGAUGUAAGGGAAUCACCUUCUCCCACCAAGAAGAGGACCUCUUUUGUACCCAUUCAUGACGGAAUGAUCAGGCUAGGGGGAAGGGCCAGCC
This 415-nucleotide long non-coding RNA is filed under the name Elaeis guineensis (African oil palm). RNAcentral describes it as "long non-coding RNA (EGUI_LNC074998)". Lineage: Eukaryota; Viridiplantae; Streptophyta; Magnoliopsida; Arecales; Arecaceae. The record is from RNAcentral.